AUUGAACGCUGGCGGCAGGCCUAACACAUGCAAGUCGAGCGAGCGGCGGACGGGUGAGUAAUGUAUGGGAAUCUGCCCGAUGGAGGGGGAUAACUACUGGAAACGGUGGCUAAUACCGCAUACUAUCGGAUGAACCCAUAUGGGAUUAGCUAGUAGGUGGGGUAAAGGCUCACCUAGGAGACGAUCCCUAGCUGGUCUGAGAGGAUUACCAGCCACACUGGAACUGAUGCACGGGCAAGACUCCUACGGGAGUCAGCAGUGGGGAAUAUUGCACAAUGGGCGAAAGCCGGAUGCAGCCAUGCCGCGUGUAUGAAGAAGGCCUUAGGGUUGUAAAGUACUUUCAGCGGGGAGGCGUUACCCGCAGAAGAAGCACCGGCUAACUCCGUGCCAGCAGCCGCGGUAAUUC
Molecule: ribosomal RNA, 406 nt
Filed under: uncultured bacterium
Lineage: Bacteria
Description: partial 16S ribosomal RNA
Rfam family: Bacterial small subunit ribosomal RNA
Source: RNAcentral